GACGAACGCUGGCGGCGUGCCUAAUACAUGCAAGUUGAGCGCUGAAGGUUGGUACUUGUACCAACUGGAUGAGCAGCGAACGGGUGAGUAACGCGUGGGGAAUCUGCCUUUGAGCGGGGGACAACAUUUGGAAACGAAUGCUAAUACCGCAUAAAAACUUUAAACACAAGUUUUAAGUUUGAAAGAUGCAAUUGCAUCACUCAAAGAUGAUCCCGCGUUGUAUUAGCUAGUUGGUGAGGUAAAGGCUCACCAAGGCGAUGAUACAUAGCCGACCUGAGAGGGUGAUCGGCCACAUUGGGACUGAGGCACGGCCCAAACUCCUACGGGAGGCAGCAGUAGGGAAUCUUCGGCAAUGGACGAAAGUCUGACCGAGCAACGCCGCGUGAGUGAAGAAGGGUGUCGGAUCGUAAAACUCGGUUGGUAGAGAAGAACGUUGGUGAGAGUGGAAAGCUCAUCAAGUGACGGUAACUACACAGAAAGGGACGGCUAACUACGUG
This 497-nucleotide ribosomal RNA is filed under the name uncultured bacterium. RNAcentral describes it as "partial 16S ribosomal RNA". It matches the Rfam family "Bacterial small subunit ribosomal RNA", at positions 28 to 507 of the family's 1533-position model. The record is from RNAcentral.